UCAGCUCGUGUCGUGAGAUGUGGUUAAGUCCCGCAACGAGCGCAACCCUACGUUUAGUUGCUAACGUGUAACGAUGAGCACUCUAGGCGGACUGCCGUUGACAAAACGGAGGAAGGUGGGGAUGACGUCAAAUCAUCAUGCCCCUUAUGUUCUGGGCUACACACGUGCUACAAUGGCCGGUACAAAGGGACGCAAAGCCGCGAGGUGGAGCAAAUCCGAUAAAAGCCGGUCUCAGUUCGGAUUGCAGGCUGAAAUUCGCCUGCAUGAAGUCGGAAUCGCUAGUAAUCGCAGGUCAGCAUACUGCGGUGAAUACGUUCCCGGGCCUU
RNAcentral lists this ribosomal RNA (326 nucleotides) under uncultured Cryptanaerobacter sp. Its description in RNAcentral is "bacterial SSU rRNA". It matches the Rfam family "Bacterial small subunit ribosomal RNA", at positions 1055 to 1382 of the family's 1533-position model. The record is from RNAcentral. Lineage: Bacteria; Bacillati; Bacillota; Clostridia; Eubacteriales; Desulfotomaculaceae.